UAGGAAUUGGCGGGGGAGCACCACAACGGGUGGAGCUUGCGGUUUAAUUGGAUUCAACGCCGGAAAUCUUACCGGGACCGACAGCAAUAUGAAGGCCAGGCUGAAGACUUUGCCGGAUUAGCUGAGAGGUGGUGCAUGGCCGUCGUCAGUUCGUACUGUGAAGCAUCCUGUUAAGUCAGGCAACGAGCGAGACCCACGCCCACAGUUGCCAGCGUACUCUCUGGAGUGACGGGUACACUGUGGGGACCGCCGCUGCUAAAGCGGAGGAAGGAAUGGGCAACGGUAGGUCAGUAUGCCCCGAAUAUCCCGGGCUACACGCGAGCUACAAUGGUUGGUACAAUGGGUAUCUACCCCGGAAGGGGACGGGAAUCUCCUAAAACCAAUCUUAGUUCGGAUUGAGGGCUGCAACUCGCCCUCAUGAAGCUGGAAUCCGUAGUAAUCGCGUUUCAACAGAACGCGGUGAAUACGUCCCUGCUCCUUGUACACACCGCCCGUC
This 496-nucleotide ribosomal RNA is filed under the name uncultured bacterium. RNAcentral describes it as "bacterial SSU rRNA". It matches the Rfam family "Archaeal small subunit ribosomal RNA", at positions 858 to 1354 of the family's 1478-position model. The record is from RNAcentral.